CAUGCCGUAAACGUUGGGUGCUAGACGUGGGGGCCUUUCCACGGUUUCCGUGUCGUAGCUAACGCAUUAAGCACCCCGCCUGGGGAGUACGGCCGCAAGGCUAAAACUCAAAGGAAUUGACGGGGGCCUGCACAAGCGGUGGAGCAUGUGGUUUAAUUCGAAGCAACGCGCAGAACCUUACCAACGUUUGACAUCCUUAUCGCGAUUAGCAGAGAUGCUUUUCUUCAGUUCGGCUGGAUAAGUGACAGGUGC
Molecule: ribosomal RNA, 252 nt
Filed under: uncultured bacterium
Lineage: Bacteria
Description: partial 16S ribosomal RNA
Rfam family: Bacterial small subunit ribosomal RNA
Source: RNAcentral